This 473-nucleotide ribosomal RNA is filed under the name uncultured Prevotella sp. Its description in RNAcentral is "bacterial SSU rRNA". It matches the Rfam family "Bacterial small subunit ribosomal RNA", at positions 1021 to 1503 of the family's 1533-position model. The record is from RNAcentral. Lineage: Bacteria; Pseudomonadati; Bacteroidota; Bacteroidia; Bacteroidales; Prevotellaceae.
UCGGGGCGCUGGUGGAGGUGCUGCAUGGUGUCGUCAGCUCGUGCCGUGAGGUGUCGGCUUAAGUGCCAUAACGAGCGCAACCCUUUUCAUUAGUUGCCAUCAGGUAAUGCUGGGCACUCUGGUGAUACUGCCACCGUAAGGUGUGAGGAAGGUGGGGAUGACGUCAAAUCAGCACGGCCCUUACGUCCGGGGCUACACACGUGUUACAAUGGGUGGUACAGAGAGUCGGAUCAACGCAAGUUGGUUCUAAUCCUAAAAGCCAUCCUCAGUUCGGAUUGGGGUCUGCAACCCGACCCCAUGAAGCUGGAUUCGCUAGUAAUCGCGCAUCAGCCAUGGCGCGGUGAAUACGUUCCCGGGCCUUGUACACACCGCCCGUCAAGCCAUGAAAGCCGGGGGCGCUUGAAGUCCGUGACCGCAAGGAUCGGCCUAGAGCGAAACUGGUAAUUGGGGCUAAGUCGUAACAAGGUAACCUA